UGGGGAAUAUUGGACAAUGGGCGCAAGCCUGAUCCAGCCAUGCCGCGUGAGUGAUGAAGGCCUUAGGGUUGUAAAGCUCUUUUGCCCGGGAAGAUAAUGACGGUACCGGGAGAAUAAGCCCCGGCUAACUUCGUGCCAGCAGCCGCGGUAAUACGAAGGGGGCUAGCGUUGCUCGGAAUCACUGGGCGUAAAGCGCACGUAGGCGGACUUUUAAGUCAGGGGUGAAAUCCUGGAGCUCAACUCCAGAACUGCCUUUGAUACUGGAAGUCUUGAGUUCGAGAGAGGUGAGUGGAACUGCGAGUGUAGAGGUGAAAUUCGUAGAUAUUCGCAAGAACACCAGUGGCGAAGGCGGCUCACUGGCCCGGUACUGACGCUGAGGUGCGAAAGCGUGGGGAGCAAAC
This 401-nucleotide ribosomal RNA is filed under the name uncultured bacterium. RNAcentral's name for it is "bacterial SSU rRNA". It matches the Rfam family "Bacterial small subunit ribosomal RNA", at positions 355 to 773 of the family's 1533-position model. The record is from RNAcentral.